CGCGGGGUAGAGCAGCCUGGUAGCUCGCAAGGCUCAUAACCUUGCGGUCGUUGGUUCAAAUCCAACCCCCGCAACCA
Molecule: transfer RNA, 77 nt
Filed under: Candidatus Azambacteria bacterium
Lineage: Bacteria; Candidatus Azamiibacteriota
Description: tRNA-Met
Rfam family: tRNA
About the family: Transfer RNA (tRNA) molecules are approximately 80 nucleotides in length. Their secondary structure includes four short double-helical elements and three loops (D, anti-codon, and T loops).
Source: RNAcentral